AUGGUGUUGAGCUACUCCCCGGACGAGCGCCAGAGCAUCACGGAUCACCUGAACUGUCAGCUCGGAUGCUUCCCCAUGACCUAUCCGGGGAUCCCCAUUAGCGACUCCAGGCUCACAGUGGUCGAGCUGCGCCCCAUGGUGAACAAGUUCUAACAUCGCAUUGAGCCUUGGCAGGGUAGAUGGCUAUCUAAGGCUGCCCAGACGGUGCUCAUUAACUCGUCCAUGUCUAGCAUGCUUCUGUUCAUUAUGAGCUUCUACAGCCUGCCAGAGAUGCUUCACCAUGAGAUUGCCAGAGUCCAGGGCCGCUUCUUCUAGGCUGGUGAGGGAGAUAACCAGAAGUAUCACAUGGCACGGUGGGCCGAGAUAUGCAAGCCUCGCGACCAGGGUGGCCUCGGGAUCAUGUCCUCCAAACGCAUGAACAUUGCCCUACUGACUCGGUGGCUAUGGCAGAUUGCGAACGCGGAGGGUGGCCUUUGGCUAUGCAUAAUUCAGCAGAAAUACCUCUGUGGAUGGCCAUUCGCCUUCUGCCAGUGCACCGGAGGAUCCCAGUUCUGGCAAUCCAUCAUACAGUUACUCCCAGUCCUCUGGCUCGGGACCUCGAUUGCGGUUGGCUCUGGCACGUCCACCCUGUUUUGGUUCGAUCGUUGGGCUGGCGACGACCCCUUCGCGGCCCGCUUCCCGGACUUGUUCACCAUCGCGGUCGAACCUAGGAUCUCCGUUGAGGUGGCUCUUGUUGACUUAGGGCACCUGGCGUUCCAACGGCCGUUCGGCCCGGUUGAAAAUGCCUCAUGGCAGGACAUGCUAUACUGUAUCGCGCUGCACGAGCCUGCCUUGGAGCACGAGGAUGAUCGCACCUUGUGGAGGCUGGAGCCCUCUGGCCAAUUCUCCACUAAAUCGAUCCCUCUACCAGGCUAUCGCGGCUUCCCCGGGUCCUGUGGCUCUCACGGCCGUCUGGGAGAUCCAGCUCCCCUUAAAGAUAAGGAUAUUCCCAUGGCAAUGGAUCCAGGCCACCUUCCUUCCGGCGUGGAGGUGCUUAAGCGCAACGGCCCCAGAGACGGGUUGUGA
This 1065-nucleotide ribosomal RNA is filed under the name Triticum aestivum (bread wheat). Its description in RNAcentral is "partial small subunit ribosomal RNA". The record is from RNAcentral. Lineage: Eukaryota; Viridiplantae; Streptophyta; Magnoliopsida; Poales; Poaceae.